This 253-nucleotide ribosomal RNA is filed under the name uncultured bacterium. RNAcentral describes it as "partial 16S ribosomal RNA". It matches the Rfam family "Bacterial small subunit ribosomal RNA", at positions 524 to 776 of the family's 1533-position model. The record is from RNAcentral.
UACGUAGGUGGCAAGCGUUGUCCGGAAUUAUUGGGCGUAAAACGCGCGCAGGCGGUCCUUUAAGUCUGAUGUGAAAGCCCACGGCUCAACCGUGGAGGGUCAUUGGAAACUGGGGGACUUGAGUGCAGAAGAGGAAAGCGGAAUUCCACGUGUAGCGGUGAAAUGCGUAGAGAUGUGGAGGAACACCAGUGGCGAAGGCGGCUGUCUGGGAUGUAACUGACGCUGAGGCGCGAAAGCGUGGGGAGCAAACAGG